AUUGAACGCUGGCGGCAUGCUUAACACACGCAAGUCGAACGGUAACAGGUGUAGCAAUACAUGCUGACGAGUGGCGGACGGGUGAGGAAUGCUUGGGAAUCUGCCUGUUAGUGGGGGACAACCCGGGGAAACUCGGGCUAAUACCGCAUACGCUCUACGGAGGAAAGCGGGGGACCGUAAGGCCUCGCGCUAACAGAUGAGCCCAAGUCGGAUUAGCUAGUUGGUGGGGUAAAAGCCUACCAAGGCGACGAUCCGUAGCUGGUCUGAGAGGACGAUCAGCCACACUGGGACUGAGACACGGCCCAGACUCCUACGGGAGGCAGCAGUGGGGAAUAUUGGACAAUGGGGGCAACCCUGAUCCAGCAAUGCCGCGUGUGUGAAGAAGGCCUGCGGGUUGUAAAGCACUUUUGGCAGGGAUGAAAAGCACUGGAUUAAUAACCCAGUGUGUUGACCUAACCUGCAGAAGAAGCACCGGCUAACUCUGUG
Molecule: ribosomal RNA, 486 nt
Filed under: uncultured bacterium
Lineage: Bacteria
Description: partial 16S ribosomal RNA
Rfam family: Bacterial small subunit ribosomal RNA
Source: RNAcentral